UCGGGAAUUUUGUGCAAUGGGCGAAAGCCUGACCCAGCAACGCCGCGUGAAGGAUGAAGUAUUUCGGUAUGUAAACUUCGAAAGAAUAGGAAGAAUAAAUGACGGUACUAUUUAUAAGGUCCGGCUAACUACGUGCCAGCAGCCGCGGUAAUACGUAGGGACCAAGCGUUGUUCGGAUUUACUGGGCGUAAAGGGCGCGUAGGCGGCAAUUCAAGUCAUCUGUGAAAUCUCCGGGCUUAACUCGGAACGGUCAGAUGAUACUGCUUUGCUAGAGUGCAGAAGGGGCAAUCGGAAUUCUUGGUGUAGCGGUGAAAUGCGUAGAUAUCGGAAGGAACAUCAGUGGCGAAGGCGACCACCUGGACUGAUACUGACACUGAGGUGCGAAAGCGUGGGGAGCAAACAGGAUUAGAUACCCAAGUAGUCCCUGAGCGGGCUGGCAAGGCGCAU
This 447-nucleotide ribosomal RNA is filed under the name uncultured bacterium. RNAcentral describes it as "bacterial SSU rRNA". It matches the Rfam family "Bacterial small subunit ribosomal RNA", at positions 355 to 825 of the family's 1533-position model. The record is from RNAcentral.